Molecule: long non-coding RNA, 320 nt
Organism: Thalassophryne amazonica
Lineage: Eukaryota; Metazoa; Chordata; Actinopteri; Batrachoidiformes; Batrachoididae
Exons: 3
Source: RefSeq, a predicted model, not a curated record
UCACAAGGUAAAUGUUGCGUAUUUUAAUACCAUUUCAAGCCUAAUUUUGAACCAAACCAAUUUUUUGCUUUGACCCAGACACCACGAUGAAAAGAAAAUAUUUCACAAGCAGUAAAGGCACAGAAGAAGUGGCUGUAGUGAGUCAUUUUGAGUGCAUGAUACCAACGGACCUCACACGGGUGUUGUGUGAUGUCCUGAAUCUGAGAGAAACAGAAAACGGAACACUUAUAAACAGCCAAUGACUAGAGAUGAAUGACUGUCUUGACUCCUUACUGCCCCCUAGAGGAUAGUUGAGAUGUUAUCAAGCAAAAUGUUAAAAA